GAUCGAGUAGCAGGAGCGGUGGAGUUGCAGUGGAUCUAUCGACGGAAGAUAUGGUCGCCCCCGAAUCUGGGGUGAGUCUCCUUUCGAUUUCAAUACGUGAUUCAGAGGGGCAGAUUUGACGGCCAAGCACUAGAUGGUCCAGCGGCGAGAGCGUCAGUGACACCGUGGAGGAAGAGAGGGAACGCAGCGAGCGGCAGAAGAGAGGGCAUCGUGAGAAAGAGAGGGCUAGGGUUUGGGGGAGUGGAGAGAGAACGAUGAAUGAAUCGGGUAACAACGUGGUUCUAAAAACUAAUUAUAUAAGGGUAAAAUAGGUAUUUCAAAUUGUCUAG
This 329-nucleotide long non-coding RNA is filed under the name Erythranthe guttata (spotted monkey flower). Its description in RNAcentral is "long non-coding RNA (EGUT_LNC003299)". The record is from RNAcentral. Lineage: Eukaryota; Viridiplantae; Streptophyta; Magnoliopsida; Lamiales; Phrymaceae.